UACGUAGGGGGCAAGCGUUGUCCGGAUUUAUUGGGCGUAAAGAGCGUGUAGGCGGCCAGACAGGUCCGUUGUGAAAACUCGAGGCUCAACCUCGAGACGCCGAUGGAAACCGUCUGGCUAGAGCCCGGAAGAGGAGAGUGGAAUUCCUGGUGUAGCGGUGAAAUGCGCAGAUAUCAGGAAGAACACCCGUGGCUAAGGCGGCUCUCUAGUACGGUACUGACGCUGAGACGCGAAAGCGUGGGGAGCGAACAGG
RNAcentral lists this ribosomal RNA (253 nucleotides) under uncultured bacterium. RNAcentral's name for it is "partial 16S ribosomal RNA". It matches the Rfam family "Bacterial small subunit ribosomal RNA", at positions 524 to 776 of the family's 1533-position model. The record is from RNAcentral.